This 540-nucleotide ribosomal RNA is filed under the name Acidobacteriota bacterium. RNAcentral's name for it is "bacterial SSU rRNA". It matches the Rfam family "Bacterial small subunit ribosomal RNA", at positions 991 to 1533 of the family's 1533-position model. The record is from RNAcentral. Lineage: Bacteria; Pseudomonadati; Acidobacteriota.
CUGCAACUCUGUGGAAACACGGAGCCUCCCUUCGGGGACAGUAGUCGAGGUGCUGCACGGCUGUCGUCAGCUCGUGUCGUGAGAUGUUGGGUUAAGUCCCGCAACGAGCGCAACCCUCGUCCUGUGUUACCAAAAAUUGGGACUCGCAGGAGACCGCCAGCGACAAGUUGGAGGAAGGUGGGGACGACGUCAAGUCAUCAUGGCCUUUAUGUCCAGGGCUACACACGUGCUACAAUGGUCGGUACAACGGGUUGCGAGGUCGCGAGGCUGAGCUAAUCCCUAAAAGCCGUCCCCAGUUCGGAUUGCAGGCUGCAACUCGCCUGCAUGAAGGUGGAAUCGCUAGUAAUGGCGUAUCAGAAUGACGCCGUGAAUACGUUCCCGGGCCUUGUACACACCGCCCGUCACAUCACGAAAGUGGAUUGUACUAGAAGUCCGCAAGCUAACUUCGGAGGCAGCGGCCCACGGUAUGAUUCAUGAUUGGGGUGAAGUCGUAACAAGGUAGCCGUAGGAGAACCUGCGGCUGGAUCACCUCCUUAUAAA